GAUGAACGCUGGCGGCGUGCCUAAUACAUGCAAGUCGAGCGAACGGACGAGAAGCUUGCUUCUCUGAUGUUAGCGGCGGACGGGUGAGUAACACGUGGAUAACCUACCUAUAAGACUGGGAUAACUUCGGGAAACCGGAGCUAAUACCGGAUAAUAUUUUGAACCGCAUGGUUCAAAAGUGAAAGACGGUCUUUCUGUCACUUAUAGAUGGAUCCGCGCUGCAUUAGCUAGUUGGUAAGGUAACGGCUUACCAAGGCAACGAUGCAUAGCCGACCUGAGAGGGUGAUCGGCCACACUGGAACUGAGACACGGUCAAGACUCCUACGGGAGGCAGCAGUAGGGAAUCUUCCGCAAUGGGCGAAAGCCUGACGGAGCAACGCCGCGUGAGUGAUGAAGGUCUUCGGAUCGUAAAACUCUGUUAUUAGGGAAGAACAUAUGUGUAAGUAACUGUGCACAUCUUGACGGUACCUAAUCAGAAAGCCACGGCUAACUACGUG
This 497-nucleotide ribosomal RNA is filed under the name uncultured bacterium. Its description in RNAcentral is "partial 16S ribosomal RNA". It matches the Rfam family "Bacterial small subunit ribosomal RNA", at positions 28 to 507 of the family's 1533-position model. The record is from RNAcentral.